Molecule: non-coding RNA, 78 nt
Organism: Paramuricea clavata
Lineage: Eukaryota; Metazoa; Cnidaria; Anthozoa; Malacalcyonacea; Plexauridae
Source: the annotation of a GenBank genome assembly
GUCUCGACAGCUAGCUCAAUGGGGAGAGCGGUGGGCUAGAAACCCGAAUAUACGAGUUUGAAUCCCGCUCGCGAGACA